Pygocentrus nattereri (red-bellied piranha) is the source of this 203-nucleotide long non-coding RNA. RefSeq lists it as uncharacterized. Lineage: Eukaryota; Metazoa; Chordata; Actinopteri; Characiformes; Serrasalmidae. The transcript is spliced from 3 exons. The record is from RefSeq and is a predicted model, not a curated record.
CACAUCUAUCCCAAAAAACAUCGAUUUGGGAUGAAGAGGAAACCUUCUAGUGUAGGAAAUGAUUUACCUGAAUUAUGGUUAGAGGACCAUUUUGACCCCUGAUGGCAUGCAUGAAGACCCUGGUGGGCUGGGGGCCGCGGUGCACUCUGCGUGCAGGUCUGCUCGUCCCGGGGCCAGAUGGUGCAGGGCAGGGGCAGAUAGAG